UAGGGAAUCUUCCGCAAUGGGCGAAAGCCUGACGGAGCAACGCCGCGUGAGUGAUGAAGGUCUUCGGAUCGUAAAACUCUGUUAUUAGGGAAGAACAAAUGUGUAAGUAACUAUGCACAUCUUGACGGUACCUAACCAGAAAGCCACGGCUAACUACGUGCCAGCAGCCGCGGUAAUACGUAGGUGGCAAGCGUUAUCCGGAAUUAUUGGGCGUAAAGCGCGCGUAGGCGGUUUUUUAAGUCUGAUGUGAAAGCCCACGGCUCAACCGUGGAGGGUCAUUGGAAACUGGAAAACUUGAGCGCAGAAGAGGAAAGUGGAAUUCCGUGUGUAGCGGUGAAAUGCGCAGAGAUAUGGAGGAACACCAGUGGCGAAGGCGACUUUCUGGUCUGUAACUGACGCUGAUGUGCGAAAGCGUGGGGAUCAAACAGG
RNAcentral lists this ribosomal RNA (429 nucleotides) under Bacteroidota bacterium. Its description in RNAcentral is "Bacteroidetes bacterium partial 16S ribosomal RNA". It matches the Rfam family "Bacterial small subunit ribosomal RNA", at positions 355 to 776 of the family's 1533-position model. Lineage: Bacteria; Pseudomonadati; Bacteroidota. The record is from RNAcentral.